Long non-coding RNA from Capsicum annuum, 844 nucleotides. RefSeq lists it as uncharacterized. The record is from RefSeq and is a predicted model, not a curated record. The transcript is spliced from 2 exons. Lineage: Eukaryota; Viridiplantae; Streptophyta; Magnoliopsida; Solanales; Solanaceae.
GUACUGAUAUGGUCUGCGUACACUCUACCCACCCCACUAUGUGGAAUACACUGGCUAUGUUGUUUUAGUUUGACUUGUAAUACUCGAAUUUUCUCUUGCAGCUCGAUGUGCGCGGUGACAUUUCAGGAUUAUUAUCGUCGCAUCCACAAGCGCCGUUACUAUCCCUACACCAUUUCGAUGUUGUAGAGUCGAUUUUUCCUUCAAUGAAUCGUACACAAUCAACAAAACACCUCAUGAAAGCAGCAAAUUUACGAUCAAUCUCGAAUGUUACAACAAACAAUAUGCCACCAUAGGUCUAGCAAUUGGACAUUUUCAGUAUCAUGGGGAUAUUCAGUUCAUAUUUACGAGAAAAUUAUGCCUAGGAGUCAUUUAAUUAAACCUAUUCAAACAUUUAGUGCUUGGGUUGCCAAGCCUGAGAAUCCUCCAUAUUACAUGUUUAAUACGAGGUCGUUUGCAAAUAAUUCCUGUGAAACUCCUCGUGUGUUUUUCUUAAAAUCUAUCGGGGAAUAGUGGAAUAAAAACGAAAUUACGGCCACGUAUACCCGGUCGGCGGAGUGGCGGUUGCCGGGUUGUUCGAUCGACGGAAACCAUCCGGCAAAUUAUGUCAACAAGAUUCAACUCUACUCUCGUAGAACAAAACGUACAGAGAUGGAUAGAUUUGAAUGUUGUGAUAUUAUUCACACAAGUGGUUCAAACAAGACACAAGUCAAAUUGAGGGAAUGUUUUACAAAUGAGAAAAUUGCUUAGUCAAAUUAUAGAAUUUUAUUUCUUUUUGUGAAGGGUACUGUAAUGUUAUGCAAAUUCUUCCCAAAAAGAAAUAUAAAAAGCAUUUUUUUUUCUUUAA